RNAcentral lists this ribosomal RNA (460 nucleotides) under uncultured bacterium. RNAcentral describes it as "partial 16S ribosomal RNA". It matches the Rfam family "Bacterial small subunit ribosomal RNA", at positions 338 to 795 of the family's 1533-position model. The record is from RNAcentral.
CCUACGGGAGGCUGCAGUGAGGAAUAUUGGUCAAUGGACGAGAGUCUGAACCAGCCAAGUAGCGUGAAGGAUGACUGCCCUACGGGUUGUAAACUUCUUUUAUAAAGGAAUAAAACGAGGCACGUGUGCCUCUUUGCAUGUACUUUAUGAAUAAGGAUCGGCUAACUCCGUGCCCGCAGCCGCGGUAAUACGGAGGAUCCGAGCGUUAUCCGGAUUUAUUGGGUUUAAAGGGAGCGUAGGUGGGUUGUUAAGUCAGUUGUGAAAGUUUGCGGCUCAACCGUAAAAUUGCAAUUGAUACUGGAAGUCUUGAGUGCAGUUAGGGAAGGCGGAAUUCGUGGUGUAGCGGUGAAAUGCUUAGAUAUCACGAAGAACCCCGAUUGCGAAGGCAGCUGACUAAAGUGUGACUGACAUUGAUGCUCGAAAGUGUGGGUAUCAAACAGGAUUAGAUACCCCGGUAGUC